Molecule: ribosomal RNA, 253 nt
Filed under: uncultured bacterium
Lineage: Bacteria
Description: partial 16S ribosomal RNA
Rfam family: Bacterial small subunit ribosomal RNA
Source: RNAcentral
CACGAAGGGGGCUAGCGUUGUUCGGAAUGACUGGGCGUAAAGGGCGCGUAGGCGGUUCAUACAGUCAGAUGUGAAAUUCCUGGGCUCAACCUGGGGGCUGCAUUUGAUACGUGUGGACUAGAGUGGGGAAGAGGGUCGUGGAAUUCCCAGUGUAGAGGUGAAAUUCGUAGAUAUUGGGAAGAACACCGGUGGCGAAGGCGGCGACCUGGUCCUUGACUGACGCUGAGGCGCGAAAGCGUGGGGAGCAAACAGG